AUAAAUAAAAGAAUCUUCCAGAAAUUCAUGAAGAGACUUCAGGUCAGGAAAGCCUGAACUUUCUCAUCCAACACCUGUUCAAGUCGGAGGAUGCUGAUUAAUUCAUGAUGGAAAGGUAUCAAUUUCACAGCCCAGACCUCUACAUUCUUGAAAUGCUCUUCUCAUGGGAGACAUUAAAUAAGCUUUGAAUUAACUAAAAAUAUCCAACCCAGGCAGGAUAACACUGAUCAUCCUGAGGAUAUUGCCCUUGGAGUUAAUUUUUUGAGAGAAAUAAAACAAGAAACAUCAUAAGACACAAACCCCAAGCAACUGAUCUCACUGUCAAAAUCCAACCUGAGAACAAUGGAAUGGAUAAUGGUCAUUUCAACUGUCUUUGAGUCUGGAGGUUGCUUUUAACAAACUGAAUUGUAUUGCUGCUGGGCUAGUUAACAUUCAUAUUAGACUUUCAAAAUAGUGUGGAGAAAACAGUCAGCUCUUUGAUGGCAUUUAUGAUGGACACACAGCUGGGCUAAUGAAGACAAUAUGUCAAGGCUUGAAGAGCAAUGAUUUUACAGAUUUUUGAGACAUCUAUUUGGGUUUAUAGAGCUGAUUUCCUCUUUGGAGGCUGCAUUCUGAAUUAGUGAUAACCACCUUUAUAGAGAAAACAUUGAAUAUGAAGUGUCCAAGGAAUUUAGGCUAAAGAAGUAAUUCUAGGACUAGUCAGACAAAGAGAAAUACUGUCUGAAAUGACUGAAU
This 735-nucleotide non-coding RNA is filed under the name Pan troglodytes (chimpanzee). Lineage: Eukaryota; Metazoa; Chordata; Mammalia; Primates; Hominidae. The record is from RNAcentral.